GGGGAUAUAACUCAGUUGGUAGAGUGCUUGUCUGGCAUGCAAAGGCCUUGGUUCAAUCUCCAGCACCCCCU
This 71-nucleotide transfer RNA is filed under the name Ictidomys tridecemlineatus (thirteen-lined ground squirrel). RNAcentral's name for it is "Spermophilus tridecemlineatus (thirteen-lined ground squirrel) tRNA". It matches the Rfam family "tRNA". From Rfam's summary of the family: Transfer RNA (tRNA) molecules are approximately 80 nucleotides in length. Their secondary structure includes four short double-helical elements and three loops (D, anti-codon, and T loops). The record is from Rfam by way of RNAcentral. Lineage: Eukaryota; Metazoa; Chordata; Mammalia; Rodentia; Sciuridae.